CAGUAGCCGCGGGAACACAGAGGGUGCGAGCGUUAAUCGGAUUUACUGGGCGUAAAGCGUGCGUAGGCGGCUUCUUAAGUCGGAUGUGAAAUCCCUGAGCUUAACUUAGGAAUUGCAUUCGAUACUGGGAAGCUAGAGUAUGGGAGAGGAUGGUAGAAUUCCAGGUGUAGCGGUGAAAUGCGUAGAGAUCUGGAGGAAUACCGAUGGCGAAGGCAGCCAUCUGGCCUAAUACUGACGCUGAGGUACGAAAGCAUGGGGAGCAAACAGGAUUAGAUACCCGAGUAGUCCCUGUCUCUUAUAC
RNAcentral lists this ribosomal RNA (301 nucleotides) under uncultured bacterium. RNAcentral's name for it is "partial 16S ribosomal RNA". It matches the Rfam family "Bacterial small subunit ribosomal RNA", at positions 509 to 807 of the family's 1533-position model. The record is from RNAcentral.